This is a non-coding RNA of Cordylochernes scorpioides, 64 nucleotides long. Lineage: Eukaryota; Metazoa; Arthropoda; Arachnida; Pseudoscorpiones; Chernetidae. The record is from the annotation of a GenBank genome assembly.
CAGGUCCAAUCAGGAGAAGCAGACCAGGGAAUAGAAUGGCCUGCUUCUCCUGGUUGGACCUGCA